AAUUGAUAAUAUAGAGAUUGCCAUUUCUAGUCGCUUUUGCUACUUCUUUGCCUUCCAUGGUUCUCACAAAACAUCCAUUCAUGUUAAAUUGCACUUUGUACCCAUGAGUUACAAGUUUACUCACCGAAAGGAGGUUCUUCUUCAUCUUUGGCACAUGCAACACAUCCUUGAGAGUGAUUCUCUUGCUUAUGCCCUUCACCACCAC
Molecule: long non-coding RNA, 205 nt
Filed under: Physcomitrium patens
Lineage: Eukaryota; Viridiplantae; Streptophyta; Bryopsida; Funariales; Funariaceae
Description: long non-coding RNA (PPAT_LNC003080)
Source: RNAcentral